GCAAAAUUUUAUAAUUAAAAUAAGAUUUGAUAUUGUUUUAUAAUAAAAUAAUUAGCAAUAUACUUAGAAAAAGUCUUUUCUCCUAUAACAUGAUCUAGAUUAAAUAUUCAGGAGUAUUUCAGAUCUGAAACCUGGGGUUGAACUUGUAAAAACAUUUUAAAAGGAAGACUGGUGUAAAAAUUCAUCAUAAGUCUAUGAUACAAAAUUUACAAAACUUUCCACAGUGCUUUCUUGAAUUAUGAAAUAUUGAGUGUUUUCUAUUCAGACAGAAAAGUUCAGAUGUAUGAGGAAUGGAGUGGUUUAAAUUCAGCUUGCAAGUUGGAAAUCCCAGCUAAUGGGACAGAAUAUACAAGUUUUUCAGUGCAAAGGUACAUAUUAAGCUUAGGGAUUUUUGCAUUUUUACAUCAAUUUCUAUUUUCAUUCUUACUGUACUUGGCAUGCGCAAUAAAGCAGCAUAUGUGAAAAUACACAGUGCAAGGACUUUAUUAUAAAGGUUGGAUGUAGUUUUCUUUAGAAAUUUAGGUAAGAGAUUUGGCCUUUUUUAUUGGACACAUGGGGCCAGAAAGGCAGGGUAGAUUCUAAAGCACUGGUUUUGUUGAAGUUAAGUUUAUUAAGGCUGGGAACAUUAAAAGCUAAUUUAUAAAAGCAAUACUUUUUAAUAUGAAAAAUUUAACGCAAAGUUUGUUUAUACUUUUGCUUAAAAGGAAAUGUGAUGGGAUUGUGUGGCAAAUCAUUAAAAAUUAAAAGCCAGGUCCUUGAGGAUCGAUGUGACAGGAAGUGAGGAGGGUCAGUGUCUAGAGCCUUUUGUUACAAUGGUCCAAGCAGCAGCAGGGCUGUGUGGGAGAACCAUGCAGACACUCGGGAAGCUGGUGUCCAAGUCCUCCCCGCCCUGUAGUCUUCACCGCAGGCCUCACCGGCUUCCCUGGGAGAGGGACAGCUGGGGCCUCGCAGGCUUUCUGCUUCCAUAGACUGCUGUGGGUAGACGCAGAGCGCCAGGACAGCUCUGCCCUCUCCUUGAAAUGGUUAAUCGAGUCAGUUGCUAAGGGCUCUGACACUAAGACGCUAUGCUCUGAAAUGCUGGGGGAAACUUGGUACAUGCCUAAGAGGCGUGGAUUGUGAAAGAAAAAUAACAUAGUUUAAUCAGCGAUUCUUUUUAAGCUAUUCAAAUAUCAUGAACAAGAUACUAAAUUGUAUCUAAGGAUUUGUAUUACAUUAAAUCUUGUUCUAAAUCUUAUCUGUUUAAUAAAUGACUAGUUGAUAUUUGUGCAUGUUAUUUAAUAAAGAGUUAUAUUUUUAUAGAAAAAAAUAA
This 1309-nucleotide long non-coding RNA is filed under the name Heterocephalus glaber (naked mole-rat). Its description in RNAcentral is "lncRNA (ENSHGLG00100040971.1)". The record is from RNAcentral. Lineage: Eukaryota; Metazoa; Chordata; Mammalia; Rodentia; Bathyergidae.